This 275-nucleotide unclassified non-coding RNA is filed under the name Hevea brasiliensis (rubber tree). Lineage: Eukaryota; Viridiplantae; Streptophyta; Magnoliopsida; Malpighiales; Euphorbiaceae. The record is from RNAcentral.
CCGCCACGGCUGAACUGACCGUCAGCCGUCUUGGCGCGAUUAUGGUUAAUGAAUUCCUGAGAUUUUUUCACGAUCGCUACCACCGGAAUGCGGCUUUCCGCAUAUAUAUCCGGUGUUUGCGUCCGGUUUCUGCGAUGCUCACGGCAAUCUUGCCGCGCCAUGGCAUCAAUUCGAUAACCUUUACCCGAACUUAAUUGCACCGACGCUAGUGUUCAAAUGCGCGCUCAGAACGGGCCGCGCCGUAUCGUUGCGUCGGAGUUUGAAAUGGAUAUCGC